RNAcentral lists this ribosomal RNA (481 nucleotides) under uncultured bacterium. RNAcentral's name for it is "bacterial SSU rRNA". It matches the Rfam family "Bacterial small subunit ribosomal RNA", at positions 26 to 507 of the family's 1533-position model. The record is from RNAcentral.
GGCUCGAGGACGAACGCUGGCGGCGUGCCUAACACAUGCAAGUCGAGCGGAGUUAUCCGAGCGGAAGUUUUCGGAUGGAAGCAUGGAUAACUUAGCGGCGGACGGGUGAGUAACACGUGGGUAACCUACCUCUAAGACGGGGAUAACAGUUGGAAACGACUGCUAAUACCGGAUGUGAUCUACGGAUUAAAGGAGCCUUUAAAGCUCCGCUUAGAGAUGGGCCUGCGGUGCAUUAGCUAGUUGGUGGGGUAAUGGCCUACCAAGGCGACGAUCAGUAGCCGACCUGAGAGGGUGACCGGCCACAUUGGGACUGAGACACGGCCCAAACUCCUACGGGAGGCAGCAGUGGGGAAUAUUGCACAAUGGGCGAAAGCCUGAUGCAGCGACGCCGCGUGAGCGAAGAAGUAUUUCGGUAUGUAAAGCUCUAUCAGCAGGGAAGAAAAUGACGGUACCUGACUAAGAAGCCCCGGCUAACUACGUG